GUGGGGAAUAUUGGGCAAUGGGGGCAACCCUGACCCAGCGACGCCGCGUGGGUGAAGAAAUCCCUCGGGAUGUAAAGCCCUGUUGUAUGGGAAGAGCAGAAGACGGUACCAUACGAGGAAGCCCCGGCAAACUACGUGCCAGCAGCCGCGGUAAUACGUAGGGGGCAAGCGUUGUCCGGAAUUACUGGGCGUAAAGCGCACGCAGGCUGAAUUAUAAGUCGGUAGUCAAAUACGGAGGCUCAACUUCCGGAUAUCUAUCGAUACUGUAAAUCUAGAGUAUGUGAGAGGGAAGCGGAAUUCACGGUGUAGCGGUGAAAUGCGUAGAUAUCGGGAGGAACACCAGUGGCGAAGGCGGCUUCCUGGCACAAUACUGACGCUCAUGUGCGAAAGCUAGGGCAGCGAACGGGAUUAGAAACCCGAGUAGUCC
This 427-nucleotide ribosomal RNA is filed under the name uncultured bacterium. RNAcentral describes it as "partial 16S ribosomal RNA". It matches the Rfam family "Bacterial small subunit ribosomal RNA", at positions 354 to 796 of the family's 1533-position model. The record is from RNAcentral.